GUGCUGUAGGAAAGGAGAAAAGGUUAGCACUCCCCUUGAGAAGGAUAGAAGAGCUCAUAAUGACCUUUACAAUACAUGUAUGGUUAAGACAUUGCCACUGACUUCACGGCAUCUAACCAUGUUUUAGA
Small nuclear RNA from Ornithorhynchus anatinus (platypus), 128 nucleotides. The record is from RefSeq and is a predicted model, not a curated record. Lineage: Eukaryota; Metazoa; Chordata; Mammalia; Monotremata; Ornithorhynchidae.